RNAcentral lists this ribosomal RNA (510 nucleotides) under Triticum aestivum (bread wheat). Its description in RNAcentral is "partial small subunit ribosomal RNA". The record is from RNAcentral. Lineage: Eukaryota; Viridiplantae; Streptophyta; Magnoliopsida; Poales; Poaceae.
AUGCCAACGGUUCCUCUUGGAUGUUUGAUUCCCCAUUUCCUUUUUUUGCUUGUGUCCCAAGUGGUGGUUUUGGUUGUGCAACCGGGUCUGGCAGUGGACCUGGCAGUGGUUGUGGAUUUGGGUUUGGCAAUGGUUGUGGGUUUGGAUCAGGUUGCGGUCCUAGUAAUGGCUGAUGGUCUGGGUUUGGCUGUGGGUCCGACAAUGGCUUCGAGUUUGGGUCUGGUAAUGGUUGUGGGUUUGGAUCAGGCUGUGGUCUUGGUAAUGGCUAAGGGUUUGGGUUUGGCUGUGGGUCUGGCAAUGAUUUCGGGUUUGGGUCUGGCUGCGGUCCUGGUAAUGGUUGAGGGUUUGGGUUCCGGCUGUGGGCCUGGCAGUGGUUGUGGGUUUGGGUUUGGUAAUGGUUGUGGGUUUGGAUCAGGCUGCGGUCCUGGUAAUGGCCGAGGGUUUGGGUUUGGCUGUGGGUCUGGCAAUGGUUUCGGGUUUGGAUCAGGCUGCGGUCCUGGUAAUGGCUGA